Molecule: ribosomal RNA, 311 nt
Filed under: uncultured bacterium
Lineage: Bacteria
Description: bacterial SSU rRNA
Rfam family: Bacterial small subunit ribosomal RNA
Source: RNAcentral
GACGAACGCUGGCGGCGCGCCUAACACAUGCAAGUCGAACGAGCGAGAGAGAGCUUGCUUUCUCGAGCGAGUGGCGAACGGGUGAGUAACGCGUGAGGAACCUGCCUCAAAGAGGGGGACAACAGUUGGAAACGGCUGCUAAUACCGCAUAAUGCAUCAAUUUCGCAUGUUAUUGAUGCCAAAGGAGCAAUCCGCCUUUAGAUGAGCUCGCGUCUGAUUAGCUAGUUGGCGGGGUAACGGCCCACCAAGGCGACGAUCAGUAGCCGGACUGAGAGGUUGAACGGCCACAUUGGGACUGAGACACGGCCCAG